Molecule: ribosomal RNA, 470 nt
Filed under: Echinoidea sp. RCMBAR1086
Lineage: Eukaryota; Metazoa; Echinodermata; Echinoidea
Description: partial 16S ribosomal RNA
Rfam family: Bacterial large subunit ribosomal RNA
Source: RNAcentral
GACGGAACCUCACUGUCUCCUUUUCCUAAAUCUGAAUUUCACUAUCCCGUGAAGAGGCGGGAAUUUUAUCGUAAGACGAGAAGACCCUGUCGAGCUGCAGCAAAAUUUUGAGUAUUAUCUGCCUCCCUUAUCCCUAAUAAGUGAUGUUACAAGAAAGAUGGGGUAUAAUACAUCAAAACAAGCUUUGAUUGGGGCAAUCACGGAGGAAGAAGACCCUCCGUUACUAAAAGACACAUAGUUUAAUCAUAAGAACCAUCAUUCUAAACUCAUAAAAUGAAGGUAUGAUCCACUCACAGUGAUCAAAAGAAAAAGUUACCGCAGGGAUAACAGCGUUAUCUUUUCUGAGAGUUCAUAUUGACGAAAAGGUUUGCGACCUCGAUGUUGGAUCGGGACAUCCUAAGGGUGCAGAAGCUUUUAAGGGUUGGUCUGUUCGACCAUUAAAGUCCUACGUGAUCUGAGUUCAGACCGGA